UGAGCAAUCUGCCCUUCUCUUCGGAAUAAGCGUUGGAAACGACGUCUAAUGCCGAAUACGACCUCCUUUCGCAUGAUCGGAGGUGGAAAGCUCCGGCGGAGAAGGAUGAGCUCGCGGCCUAUCAGCUAGUUGGUGUGGGUAAUGGCCCACAAGGCGACGACGGGUAGCCGGCCUGAGAGGGUGACCGGCCACACUGGGACUGAGACACGGCCCAGACCUCCGUACGGGAGGCAGCG
This 236-nucleotide ribosomal RNA is filed under the name uncultured bacterium. RNAcentral's name for it is "partial 16S ribosomal RNA". It matches the Rfam family "Bacterial small subunit ribosomal RNA", at positions 118 to 353 of the family's 1533-position model. The record is from RNAcentral.